Amphimedon queenslandica is the source of this 73-nucleotide long non-coding RNA. RefSeq lists it as uncharacterized. The transcript is spliced from 2 exons. The record is from RefSeq and is a predicted model, not a curated record. NCBI's taxonomy places the organism in Eukaryota, Metazoa, Porifera, Demospongiae, Haplosclerida, Niphatidae.
AGAUUCUUCAAAAAGGAAAGUCAAGUAAAACAGAAUCUGAUUCCAAGCGCCCCAAGACUUUAGAUUAACAUUU